CUACGGGCGGCUGCAGUGGGGAAUAUUGGACAAUGGGGGAAACCCUGAUCCAGCAAUGCCGCGUGUGUGAAGAAGGCCUGCGGGUUGUAAAGCACUUUCGGUUGGGAGGACUGCUUCUAGCACUAAUAUUGUUGGAAGUUGACGUUACCUUCAGAAGAAGCACCGGCUAACUCCGUGCCGAGCAGCCGCGGUAAUACGGAGGGUGCAAGCGUGAAUCGGAAUGACUGGGCGUAAAGCGCGCGUAGGCGGCUAGAUCAGUCGGGUGUGAAAGCCCCGGGCUUAACCUGGGAACUGCAUCCGAUACUGUCUAGCUUGAGUACAGGAGAGGAGAGUGGAAUUCCACAUGUAGCGGUGAAAUGCGUAGAUAUGUGGAGGAACACCAAUGGCGAAGGCAGCUCUCUGGCCUGAUACUGACGCUGAGGUGCGAAAGCGUGGGGAGCAAACAGGAUUAGAUACCCCGGUAGUC
RNAcentral lists this ribosomal RNA (466 nucleotides) under uncultured bacterium. Its description in RNAcentral is "partial 16S ribosomal RNA". It matches the Rfam family "Bacterial small subunit ribosomal RNA", at positions 339 to 795 of the family's 1533-position model. The record is from RNAcentral.